This 312-nucleotide unclassified non-coding RNA is filed under the name uncultured fungus. Its description in RNAcentral is "partial contains small subunit ribosomal RNA, internal transcribed spacer 1, and 5.8S ribosomal RNA". The stretch from base 1 to 73 matches the Rfam family "Eukaryotic small subunit ribosomal RNA", at positions 1759 to 1831 of the family's 1831-position model. The record is from RNAcentral. Lineage: Eukaryota; Fungi.
UCAAACUUGGUCAUUUAGAGGAAGUAAAAGUCGUAACAAGGUAACCGUAGGUGAACCUGCGGUUGGAUCAUUACUGAACUGCGGGAAAAGAAUUGAACCCCCUCCUUGUGUGAACUGUUAUUAUUUCUUUGGUGGCCCACAAACAUGUUGGCGCGUCCUCCCUAAAAAAGGACGCGACUUCGGGCCACCUAACUGUUAUCAAAUUCUUGUUUGAUGUAUAUCUUACAUGAUUGUAUGAGUUGAAUCUCCAAUAAACAAAAAACAACUUUUGACAAUGGAUCUCUUGGCUCUUGCAUCGAUGAAGAACGCAGC